RNAcentral lists this ribosomal RNA (386 nucleotides) under uncultured bacterium. RNAcentral describes it as "partial 16S ribosomal RNA". It matches the Rfam family "Bacterial small subunit ribosomal RNA", at positions 338 to 721 of the family's 1533-position model. The record is from RNAcentral.
GCUACGGGAGGCAGCAGUGAGGAAUAUUGGUCAAUGGACGAGAGUCUGAACCAGCCAAGUAGCGUGAAGGAUGACUGCCCUAGGGGCUGUAAACUUCUUUUAUAUGGGAGUAAAACGCUCCACGUGGGGGAUUACGUAUGUACCAUAAGAAUAAGGAACGGCUAACUUCGUGCCAGCAGCAGAGGUCAUACGGAGGAUACGAGCGUUAUCCGGAUUGAGUGGGGUUAAAGGGAGUGUAGGGGACGUGUUAAGUCAGUUGUGAAAGGUUGCGGCUCAAACGCAAAAGUGCAGUUGAAACUGGCUGUCUUGAGUACAGUAGAGGUGGGCGGAAUUCGUGGGGUAGCGGUGAAAUGCUUAGAUAUCACGAAGAACUCCGGUUGCGAAGG